This 449-nucleotide ribosomal RNA is filed under the name uncultured organism. Its description in RNAcentral is "partial 16S ribosomal RNA". It matches the Rfam family "Bacterial small subunit ribosomal RNA", at positions 330 to 796 of the family's 1533-position model. The record is from RNAcentral.
CGUACACUCCUACGGGAGGCAGCAGUGGGGAAUCUUGCGCAAUGGGCGAAAGCCUGACGCAGCCAUGCCGCGUGAAUGAUGAAGGUCUUAGGAUUGUAAAAUUCUUUCACCGGGGACGAUAAUGACGGUACCCGGAGAAGAAGCCCCGGCUAACUUCGUGCCAGCAGCCGCGGUAAUACGAAGGGGGCUGGCGUUGCUCGGAAUUACUGGGCGUAAAGGGAGCGUAGGCGGACAUUUAAGUCAGGGGUGAAAUCCCGGGGCUCAACCUCGGAAUUGCCUUUGAUACUGGGUGUCUUGAGUAUGAGAGAGGUGUGUGGAACUCCGAGUGUAGAGGUGAAAUUCGUAGAUAUUCGGAAGAACACCAGUGGCGAAGGCGACACACUGGCUCAUUACUGACGCUGAGGCUCGAAAGCGUGGGGAGCAAACAGGAUUAGAAACCCGUGUAGUCC